Molecule: long non-coding RNA, 600 nt
Filed under: Homo sapiens (human)
Lineage: Eukaryota; Metazoa; Chordata; Mammalia; Primates; Hominidae
Description: HSALNT0274655
Source: RNAcentral
GGGAGCGGCUCUGGACAAUGAUGAGAAGGAAUCAGGCGGCUCGGGGCCACCUUGGCCCUGAUGGGAGCGGCUCUGGACAAUGAUGAGAAGGAAUCAGGCGGCUCGGGGCCACCUUGGCCCUGAUGGGAGCGGCUCUGGACAAUGAUGAGAAGGAAUCAGGCGGCUCGGGGCCACCUUGGCCCUGAUGGGAGCGGCUCUGGACAGUGAUGAGAAGGAAUCAGGCGGCUCGGGGCCACUGUGGCCCUGGUGAGAGCAGCUCUGGACAGUGAUGAGAAAGAAUCAGGCCUCCAGUUUAGGGACUCUGUUCCUGGUGAUCCCUGGGCUAAAGGACUAAUCAGGGGAAUCUCAGUAUUUUCCCUGACACUCUUUAGAGGAAGAAUCACAAAGAGCCUGGGGCUGGCUGGAAUUUUCUCCCGUGCAGUCGUCCAGCCUCCCGUGGCAGGGAGCGGCAUCUCAGUGUGCGAAGCCCUUUGUAUACUUCCCUGGAAUGUGGCUUUUAUUUUGUAACAAAGCAAAUGUUUUACUGCUGGUUUUCCUUUAACAAAUAAAUAUUGGCUCCAACACAUGUCAGAGAAAGUCGACAACAAUAAACCCAAGUGU